GUAGGGGGGGCAAGCGUUGUCCGGAAUUAUUGGGCGUAAAGCGCGCGCAGGCGGCUAUUUAAGUCUGGGUGGUUUAAACCUUGGGGCUCAACCUGAGGUCGCACUGGAAACUGGGUGGCUUGAGUACAGAAGAGGAAAGUGGAAUUCCACGUGUAGCGGUGAAAUGCGUAGAGAUGUGGAGGAACACCAGUGGCGAAGGCGACUUUCUGGGCUGUAACUGACGCUGAGGCGCGAAAGCGUGGGGAGCAAACAGGAUUAGAUACCCUGGUAGUCCACGCCGUAAACGAUGAGUGCUAGGUGUUAGGGGUUUCGAUACCCUUGGUGCCGGAGUUAACACAGUAAGCACUCCGCCUGGGGAGUACGGUCGCAAGACUG
This 375-nucleotide ribosomal RNA is filed under the name uncultured organism. RNAcentral's name for it is "partial 16S ribosomal RNA". It matches the Rfam family "Bacterial small subunit ribosomal RNA", at positions 525 to 896 of the family's 1533-position model. The record is from RNAcentral.